GAUGAAGAACGCAGUGAAAUGCGAUAAGUAAUGUGAAUUGCAGAAUUCAGUGAAUCAUCGAAUCUUUGAACGCACCUUGCGCCCUUUGGCCAUUCCGAAGGGCAUGCCUGUUUGAGUAUCAUGAACACCUCAACUCUUUAUGGUUUUCCAUGAUGAGCUUGGACUCUGGGGGUUUUGCUGGCUCACAGUCGGCUCCUCUAAAAUAAAUCAGCUUACCAGUGUUUGGUGGGUAUCAUGGGUGUGAUAACUAUCUACCCUUGUGGUUUUUCCACCAGGUAACCUUCAGCAGUGGAGGUUCGCUGGAGCUCAUAGACGUCUCUCCUCAGUGAGGACAGCCCUUUGAACGUUUGAUCUCAAAUCAGGUAGGACUACCCGCUGAACUUAAGCAUAUCAAUAAGCGGAGGA
RNAcentral lists this unclassified non-coding RNA (405 nucleotides) under soil metagenome. Its description in RNAcentral is "partial contains 5.8S ribosomal RNA, internal transcribed spacer 2, and large subunit ribosomal RNA". The stretch from base 1 to 121 matches the Rfam family "5.8S ribosomal RNA", at positions 35 to 154 of the family's 154-position model. The record is from RNAcentral.